Notolabrus celidotus (New Zealand spotty) is the source of this 923-nucleotide long non-coding RNA. RefSeq lists it as uncharacterized. The transcript is spliced from 2 exons. NCBI's taxonomy places the organism in Eukaryota, Metazoa, Chordata, Actinopteri, Labriformes, Labridae. The record is from RefSeq and is a predicted model, not a curated record.
GAUCAGUUUGUUCAGUGUUUGUCUGCAGAGAACUUUUAGUAACUGACCAAAUGAAUUUCUCUGUUUUUCAUGGUGGCCGGGCAGAGUAGACUCUUUGAUCUGAGAUUGCCUGCCAUGGAAAACAGUAAAACAUUAUAAAUACCGUAAAAACAAAAAGGAAAUGUAUCAAAGCGACCGUUUUCAGGAUGUUUUGUAAUGUAGUUUGAGGAACGAAUGAUUGAAGAUUUAUAGUCUUUAAAAAAAAGUCUUCUGAUGGAUGUUUACAUAGACAGACAUCCAUCAGAAGACUCUUUACUUUUAUACAACACGUCCACCUCUCCAUCCGUCCUUUACCUGCACUGACGACCGUCAUGCUCUGCGACUCCUUGAGGAGCUUCGGGAUGGCCGGGUCGUCACGUGAAUACAGAGCGUAACGGUUGAUUCCCAGAUGGAACUUCACCCAGCUGGCAUCGGGGUCAAAGGUCACCUCGUGCUCAAUCACCGUGAUGUUGGACAAGGCUGCUGCCCCGCUGUAGAUCUUCAUAUGUCUGAGGAGAGAGAAGCCAGAGAGAAAUCUGUAGCAGCUUCUAAUAUGACAUUUUAACAGUACGGUUGAGAUAUGUAAAGAGCUCUCGUUCUUGUGGAUGCUUUUUUGGUAGCUGACUGAAAAAGACCAGGACUCUGGCUGUGGUCUAGUUACUCUUGGAUUGCUCGGCUUUAGAAAAAUAUGCUGUUUUUAGAGGCAGUAUUUUAUUUUGGAAGGACUACAGAGCUCUGCGUGAAUAAAAUCCAUGGCAAAGUGGAUUCAACAGGUUUCCUUCCAACAAAAAAUAUUUAUAAAACACACAAGGAAAGGAACUACAAGGGAAACAGAUCUUUCUUUAAUUCAAACUCUGUUUCUUAUUUGAGUUUCCUGCAGCCAAAUAUGUCAUUCACAUAUUUAA